This 440-nucleotide ribosomal RNA is filed under the name uncultured bacterium. RNAcentral describes it as "bacterial SSU rRNA". It matches the Rfam family "Bacterial small subunit ribosomal RNA", at positions 338 to 769 of the family's 1533-position model. The record is from RNAcentral.
CCUACGGGUGGCAGCAGUGGGGAAUUUUCCGCAAUGGGCGAAAGCCUGACGGAGUGACGCCGCGUGGGGGACGAAGGCCUUCGGGUCGUAAACCCCUGUCAGUGGGAAAGAAGGGUGUCGGUGCUAAUACCACCGGCAUUUGACGGUACCUGCAGAGGAAGCCCCGGCCAACUCUGUGCCAGCAGCCGCGGUAAGACAGAGGGGGCAAGCGUUGCUCGGAAUUACUGGGCGUAAAGGGCGCGUAGGCGGGAUGGCAAGUCGGUCGUGAAAUCCCUCGGCUCAACCGAGGAACGUCGAUCGAUACUGCUGUUCUUGAGGAUUGCAGAGGAGACUGGAAUUCCUGGUGUAGCGGUGAAAUGCGCAGAUAUCAGGAAGAACACCAAUGGCGAAUGCAGCUCUCUGGGACGGUACUGACGCUGAGACGCGAAAGCGUGGGGAGC